AUUGAACGCUGGCGGCAGGCCUAACACAUGCAAGUCGAACGAGUGGCGGACGGGUGAGUAAUGUCUGGGAACCUGCCCGAUGGAGGGGGAUAACUACUGGAAACGGUAGCUAAUACCGCAUACCAUCGGAUGUGCCCAGAUGGGAUUAGCUAGUAGGUGGGGUAAAGGCUCACCUAGGCGACGAUCCCUAGCUGGUCUGAGAGGAUGACCAGCCACAUUGGAACUGAGACACGGCCCAGACCCCCACGGGAGGCAGCAGUGGUGAAGAUUGCACAAUGGGCGCAAGCUUGAAGCAGCCAUGCCGCGUGUAGGAAGAAGGUCUUCGGGUUGUAAAGUACUGUCAGCGGGGAGGCGUUACCCGCAGAAGAGGCACCGGCUAACUCCGUGCCAGCAGCCGCGGUAAUUC
Molecule: ribosomal RNA, 406 nt
Filed under: uncultured bacterium
Lineage: Bacteria
Description: partial 16S ribosomal RNA
Rfam family: Bacterial small subunit ribosomal RNA
Source: RNAcentral